RNAcentral lists this ribosomal RNA (430 nucleotides) under uncultured Actinomycetes bacterium. RNAcentral's name for it is "bacterial SSU rRNA". It matches the Rfam family "Bacterial small subunit ribosomal RNA", at positions 1074 to 1499 of the family's 1533-position model. Lineage: Bacteria; Bacillati; Actinomycetota; Actinomycetes. The record is from RNAcentral.
GUUGGGUUAAGUCCCGCAACGAGCGCAACCCCUAUCAUUAGUUACCAGCGGGUAAUGCCGGGAACUCUAAUGAGACCGCCACUUUUCAAGGUGGAGGAAGGUGGGGAUGACGUCAAGUCAUCAUGCCCCUUAUGUCUUGGGCUACAAACGUGCUACAUUGGCCGGUACAAAGGGCUGCAAACCUGCGAGGGUGAGCGAAUCCCAAAAAAGCGGUCUCGGUUCGGAUUGGAGGCUGAAACUCGCCUCCAUGAAGGUGGAGUUGCUAGUAAUCGCGGAUCGGCAACGCCGCGGUGAAUAUGUUCCCGGGUCUUAUACACACCGCCCGUCACACCACGAAAGUCGGCAAUACCCGAAGCCGGUGGCCUAACCCGCAAGGGAGGGAGCCGUCGAAGGUAGGGUUGAUGAUUGGGGUGAAGUCGUAACAAGGUAA